UACAGAGGUCCCAAGCGUUGUUCGGAUUCAUUGGGCGUAAAGCGUGCGCAGGCGGCUUUGCAAGACAGAUGUGAAAUCCCCGGGCUCAACCUGGGAACUGCAUUUGUGACUGCAAGGCUAGAGUACGGCAGAGGGGGAUGGAAUUCCGCGUGUAGCAGUGAAAUGCGUAGAUAUGCGGAGGAACACCAAUGGCGAAGGCAAUCCCCUGGGCCUGUACUGACGCUCAUGCACGAAAGCGUGGGGAGCAAACAGG
RNAcentral lists this ribosomal RNA (253 nucleotides) under uncultured bacterium. RNAcentral's name for it is "partial 16S ribosomal RNA". It matches the Rfam family "Bacterial small subunit ribosomal RNA", at positions 524 to 776 of the family's 1533-position model. The record is from RNAcentral.